GAUGAACGCUGGCGGUAUGCCUUACACAUGCAAGUCGUACGAGAGUUUUUAACUCAAGUGGCGGACGGGUGAGUAACACGUAAGAAUUUGCCUUUAGGAGGGGGACAACAACUGGAAACGGUUGCUAAUACCCCAUAUGCUUUCGAGUGAAAUGGAUUUAUCCGCCUAGAGAGAAGCUUGCGGCUGAUUAGCUUGUUGGUAGGGUAACGGCCUACCAAGGCGACGAUCAGUAUCUGGUUUGAGAGGACGAUCAGACACACUGGAACUGAGACACGGUCCAGACUCCUACGGGAGGCAGCAGUGGGGAAUUUUCCGCAAUGGGCGAAAGCCUGACGGAGCAAUACCGCGUGAGGGAUGACGGCCUAUGGGUUGUAAACCUCUUUUUUCAGGGA
RNAcentral lists this ribosomal RNA (392 nucleotides) under uncultured bacterium. RNAcentral describes it as "bacterial SSU rRNA". It matches the Rfam family "Bacterial small subunit ribosomal RNA", at positions 28 to 445 of the family's 1533-position model. The record is from RNAcentral.